This 253-nucleotide ribosomal RNA is filed under the name uncultured bacterium. Its description in RNAcentral is "partial 16S ribosomal RNA". It matches the Rfam family "Bacterial small subunit ribosomal RNA", at positions 524 to 776 of the family's 1533-position model. The record is from RNAcentral.
UACAGAGGGUGCAAGCGUUGUUCGGAAUUAUUGGGCGUAAAGCGCGUGUAGGCGGCUUUGCAAGUCGGGUGUGAAAUCCCUCAGCUCAACUGAGGAAGUGCGCCCGAAACUGCAGAGCUUGAGUACCGGAGAGGAUGGCGGAAUUCCCCAAGUAGAGAUGAAAUUCGUAGAUAUGGGGAGGAACACCGGUGGCGAAGGCGGCCAUCUGGACGGAUACUGACGCUGAGACGCGAAAGCGUGGGGAGCAAACAGG